AGGGGGAGCUGAAGUGCCCUGCACUAGGACGUGGUGAAAUCCAAGCUCUGUCAGCUGCUCAGGUGACUGAAUCCUACAGACUUUCCCCAGGAAACACACCUGGUUGUGAUUCAUUGUGCCUCCUGGGAAGCAGGGAUAGAAAUGAUCUCUGCCAUGGAUGACUUCUGCCUCUUCUUCCAGCAGGACAUGGAUGUGGCAGCUGCUGAGGCUCUGCACAAGUGGGAAGGGUGAGCAGCUCUGUGGAGGGCCUGAGCUGACA
This is a long non-coding RNA of Serinus canaria (Common canary), 259 nucleotides long. RefSeq lists it as uncharacterized. The transcript is spliced from 3 exons. The record is from RefSeq and is a predicted model, not a curated record. NCBI's taxonomy places the organism in Eukaryota, Metazoa, Chordata, Aves, Passeriformes, Fringillidae.